Molecule: long non-coding RNA, 342 nt
Organism: Solanum lycopersicum (tomato)
Lineage: Eukaryota; Viridiplantae; Streptophyta; Magnoliopsida; Solanales; Solanaceae
Source: RefSeq, a predicted model, not a curated record
UGUACUCCUCCGCUUCUAUGUUUCUCGCUCCCUUCACCCUUUAUUUUGUGUUGCUUCAUCCUUAAGUCCCUAACAUUCUUCAUCCAUGGAAAAGUAGUAUAUAUCAGCUCACAAAGAUGUGAAAUCCGGUGGAGGUGUUUAGAGUUCAAGAUGAACUUUUUGUUGAUUUAACCAUGAAACUCAUUCUAGAAGCUUGAGGUACUUGUAAAUCCCUCUCUUAAAGCCAUUGUCAUUCCUUGAGAAUCUUCUUUACCAUCCGUAAUACUUGCUUGACUAUCACCUCCCAUGAUGUUGACCCUUUAGAUAAAAGGUAUGAACCCACACAAUACGAAAUUUUUCCUU